RNAcentral lists this small RNA (213 nucleotides) under uncultured Ewingella sp. Its description in RNAcentral is "GlmZ RNA activator of glmS mRNA". It matches the Rfam family "GlmZ RNA activator of glmS mRNA". From Rfam's summary of the family: This RNA was discovered in E. coli during a large scale screen. The sraJ gene was expressed in early logarithmic phase, but its level decreased with cell growth. The record is from RNAcentral. Lineage: Bacteria; Pseudomonadati; Pseudomonadota; Gammaproteobacteria; Enterobacterales; Yersiniaceae.
GUAGAUGCUCAUUCCACCUCCUAUGUUUGCCAUCCGGCUUCAUAAAACUGGGAAUGAUGCAGAGCCAAUUUAUAGUGCCUAUUGUCUAUCUGCCCGAUAAACACCUCUCAUCAGGUAUUUAUCAACCAGCAGGCAAAACGUUGAGUGAGGCACUGCCCCUGUUGUCCAUGACCUGAUUGUUUUCGACACUUGCCAUCCGGCAAGUGUUUUUUU